Molecule: ribosomal RNA, 120 nt
Filed under: uncultured bacterium
Lineage: Bacteria
Description: partial 16S ribosomal RNA
Rfam family: Bacterial small subunit ribosomal RNA
Source: RNAcentral
UCGCCCAAGGAUGAGCCCGCGUAGGAUUAGCUUGUUGGUGAGGUAAAAGCUCACCAAGGCGACGAUCCUUAGCUGGUCUGAGAGGAUGAUCAGCCACACUGGGACUGAGACACGGCCCAG